CCCCAAGGACGCCAAACUUGCUUUUCUUAAAACCUUUUUACUUUUUCCAACUCAGAAACAUCACAAUUUGGUUUUCCAUAAUCUGCCGGUUCUGUACCAGCACAAUUAAGAAACUGCAUCUGAAUUGAGCAAGCACGGACUGUUUUUUUCUGGUCAUGAUGCCGUCAGCAAGGCAGUACAGGGAUGUCGGAGUAGCACUGACCUUGACCAUCAGUUAACCUAGAGCUCCAUGGACUCUUAUUCCUGAACUAGAUCGGAUUUCUGCCUCUAAGGACCACCACACCUGUGCCCUUCCUGUGACUUUCCCUGGACAGCCUGUGGGCAGCUGGGGACCAGCAGACUGUCUACAGCGAGCACAGCCUCAGCCUGCAGUGCCCCUGCAGUUGGCAAGCACGGGGGCGGGGGACGGGAGCAGUCGGGGUACCCCCCACAAUGCGUUCAUUCAGCACUAUACCAGGUUCCUUCCCUCCUACCAGUGAGGCCAAGAUGGAGCCCCCGAUCCAGGGGCUGAACUUGCGCUCCAUGGUGCUGUUGCUGGCGAUGAGCUUCAGUCGCAUGCUCUGUGGGAAGAAAUGGGCCAAAGGAAACAGACAUCCUGGAUGUGGAAAGGGGCAGGUU
Ochotona curzoniae (black-lipped pika) is the source of this 618-nucleotide long non-coding RNA. RefSeq lists it as uncharacterized. The record is from RefSeq and is a predicted model, not a curated record. Lineage: Eukaryota; Metazoa; Chordata; Mammalia; Lagomorpha; Ochotonidae. The transcript has 3 exons.